GGGAAGAGGAGCGUGCAGGAGCCGCAGGGCGGAGGAAGGCGGGGAUCGCGAGGGCGCGGGCCAGGGAAGAGUCCCCGGGGCGGCUGGGCGGGUGGCGCCCGGAGCUCGACUGGGGGUCGCGGUGGAGAUGAGGCGGCAGCCAGCGGGGAGAUGAGGCGGCAGCCAGCGGGGAGAUGAGGCGCUGCGCGAGGAAGCAGGAUCCGAGAGGGCGAGCCCGCUGUCCGCACCUGCGUGUCCGGGAGCGGGCAGGCAGAGGACUACGUGCUUAGCGUGGGACGGUGUCUAUGUUCCCUCCUGUCACUGGGCCUGGCAGAGACCCCAUUCAGGCUCAAAACGUUCAGUGGGACAGGAACCAAAGUACCUCAUGAUGUGUCAAGACAAACCUGGAAAGACUAGGAGCUGUUAACUGGCCUGCCUCAAUGAAUCAUCUGGUACUUCUUUUUGUCUCUAGUUUUGAAAGCUUCCCAGAGGCAACCUGAAAUCCAGAAUCUUCUCAGAAUAGGAUGAGGGAAAUUCUGAAGUUUUCACUAAACACAUUUCUCCCUCAAGCUUUGGAAGGAGCCAGAAUGCCAAAGGCAAGAAUCCCUGAACAUCGCCUACA
RNAcentral lists this long non-coding RNA (601 nucleotides) under Camelus dromedarius (Arabian camel). RNAcentral's name for it is "lncRNA (ENSCDRG00005017729.1)". Lineage: Eukaryota; Metazoa; Chordata; Mammalia; Artiodactyla; Camelidae. The record is from RNAcentral.